Molecule: transfer RNA, 68 nt
Filed under: Paralithodes camtschaticus (red king crab)
Lineage: Eukaryota; Metazoa; Arthropoda; Malacostraca; Decapoda; Lithodidae
Description: tRNA-Phe
Source: RNAcentral
ACUUUUAUAAUUUAUUUGCAGAGAAUAUCGCGCUGAAGAUGCGAAAGAGGUAAAUCUACCUGAAAGUG